UGCGAGUCAUUGUAGCAAUACAAGGCAGACGGCUCAGUAACGCGUUGUCAAUCUACCCUAUGGACGGGAAUAACCUCGGGAAACUGAGAAUAAUGCCCGACAGAACAUUAUACCUGGAACGGUUUAUGUUUCAAAUGAUUUAUCGCCGUAGGAUGGGACUGCGGCCUAUCAGUUUGUUGGUGAGGUAAUGGCCCACCAAGACUAUUACAGGUACGGGCUCUGAGAGGAGUAGCCCGGAGAUGGGUACUGAGACACGGACCCAGGCCCUAUGGGGCGCAGCAGGCGAGAAAACUUUGCAAUGUGCGAAAGCACGACAAGGUUAAUCCGAGUGGUUUCUGCUAAAGAAACCUUUUGCUAGUCCUAGAAACACUAGUGAAUAAGGGGUGGGCAAGUUCUGGUGUCAGCCGCCGCGGUAAAACCAGCACCUCAAGUGGUCAGGAUGAUUAUUGGGCCUAAAGCAUCCGUAGCUCGUUUUGUAAGUUUUCGGUUAAAUCCAUACGCUUAACGUAUGGGCUGCCGGGAAUACUGCAUAACUAGGAAGUGGGAGAGGUAGACGGUACUCGGUAGGAAGGGGUAAAAUCCUUUGAUCUAUUGAUGACCACCUGUGGCGAAGGCGGUCUACCAGAACACGUUCGACGGUGAGGGAUGAAAGCUGGGGGAGCAAACCGGAUUAGAUACCCGGGUAGUCCCAGCUGUAAACUAUGCAAACUCAGUGAUGCAUUGGCUUGUGGCCAAUGCAGUGCUGCAGGGAAGCCGUUAAGUUUGCCGCCUGGGAAGUACGUACGCAAGUAUGAAACUUAAAGGAAUUGGCGGGGGAGCACCACAAGGGGUGAAGCCUGCGGU
This 843-nucleotide ribosomal RNA is filed under the name uncultured archaeon. RNAcentral's name for it is "bacterial SSU rRNA". It matches the Rfam family "Archaeal small subunit ribosomal RNA", at positions 52 to 901 of the family's 1478-position model. The record is from RNAcentral.